RNAcentral lists this ribosomal RNA (253 nucleotides) under uncultured bacterium. RNAcentral's name for it is "partial 16S ribosomal RNA". It matches the Rfam family "Bacterial small subunit ribosomal RNA", at positions 524 to 776 of the family's 1533-position model. The record is from RNAcentral.
UACGUAGGUGGCAAGCGUUGUCCGGAUUUAUUGGGCGUAAAGGGCGCGUAGGCGGCCUGGUGUGUUUACGGUGAAAUCCCUCGGCUUAACCGAGGAACUGCCGUGAAAACUGCCGGGCUCGAGGCCGGAAGAGGGUGGUGGAAUUCCCGGUGUAGCGGUGAAAUGCGUAGAGAUCGGGAGGAACAUCAGUGGCGAAGGCGGCCUGCUGGGCUGUUGCUGACGCUGAGGCGCGACAGCGUGGGGAGCAAACAGG